This 381-nucleotide ribosomal RNA is filed under the name uncultured eukaryote. RNAcentral describes it as "partial 18S ribosomal RNA". It matches the Rfam family "Eukaryotic small subunit ribosomal RNA", at positions 592 to 976 of the family's 1831-position model. The record is from RNAcentral.
CAAUAGCGUAUAUUAAAGUUGUUGCAGUUAAAAAGCUCGUAGUUGGAUUUCUGUCAAGGACAACUGGUCCGCCCUCCGGGUGAGCACAUAGUUUGGUCUUGACAUCUUGCUGGAAGCUGUUGCUGCACUUGGCUGUGUGGCGCAGUGUUCAGCACUUUCACUUUGAGGAAAUUGGAGUGUUUCAAGCAGGCACAUGCCUUUGGACACAGUAGCAUGGAAUAAUUAGAUUGGGCUUUUGCUCCAAUUUGUCGGUUUCUGGAGCUGAGGUGAGUAUUAAUGGGGAUUGUUGGGGGCAUCCGAAUUUAGCCGUCAGAGGUGAAAUUCUUGGAUCUGCUAAAGACGGACAACUGCGAAAGCGUUUGCCCAGGAUGUUUUCAUUGA